RNAcentral lists this long non-coding RNA (253 nucleotides) under Homo sapiens (human). RNAcentral's name for it is "non-protein coding lnc-EIF2AK3-4:64". The record is from RNAcentral. Lineage: Eukaryota; Metazoa; Chordata; Mammalia; Primates; Hominidae.
CAGGGGAAAGAGCCACCCUCUCCUGCAGGGCCAGUCAGAGUGUUAGCAGCAGCUACUUAGCCUGGUACCAGCAGAAACCUGGCCAGGCUCCCAGGCUCCUCAUCUAUGGUGCAUCCAGCAGGGCCACUGGCAUCCCAGACAGGUUCAGUGGCAGUGGGUCUGGGACAGACUUCACUCUCACCAUCAGCAGACUGGAGCCUGAAGAUUUUGCAGUGUAUUACUGUCAGCAGUAUGGUAGCUCACCUCCCACAGU